UAGGGAAUCUUCGGCAAUGGGGGCAACCCUGACCGAGCAACGCCGCGUGAGUGAAGAAGGUUUUCGGAUCGUAAAGCUCUGUUGUAAGUCAAGAACGGGUGUGAGAGUGGAAAGUUCACACUGUGACGGUAGCUUACCAGAAAGGGACGGCUAACUACGUGCCAGCAGCCGCGGUAAUACGUAGGUCCCGAGCGUUGUCCGGAUUUAUUGGGCGUAAAGCGAGCGCAGGCGGUUUGAUAAGUCUGAAGUUAAAGGCUGUGGCUCAACCAUAGUUCGCUUUGGAAACCGUCAAACUUGAGUGCAGAAGGGGAGAGUGGAAUUCCAUGUGUAGCGGUGAAAUGCGUAGAUAUAUGGAGGAACACCGGUGGCGAAAGCGGCUCUCUGGUCUGUAACUGACGCUGAGGCUCGAAAGCGUGGGGAGCGAACAGGAUUAGAUACCCUGGUAGUCCACGCCGUAAACGAUGAGUGCUAGGUGUUGGAUCCUUUCCGGGAUUCAGUGCCGCAGCUAACGCAUUAAGCACUCCGCCUGGGGAGUACGACCGCAAGGUUGAAAC
RNAcentral lists this ribosomal RNA (554 nucleotides) under uncultured bacterium. Its description in RNAcentral is "partial 16S ribosomal RNA". It matches the Rfam family "Bacterial small subunit ribosomal RNA", at positions 355 to 900 of the family's 1533-position model. The record is from RNAcentral.